CCUACGGGGGGCUGCAGUAGGGAAUAUUGGGCAAUGGACGCAAGUCUGACCCAGCCACGCCGCGUGAAUGAUGACUGCCCUAUGGGUUGUAAACUUCUUUUGUAUGGGACGAAACCUCCGAACGUGUUCGGAGCUGACGGUACCAUAAGAAUAAGCAUCGGCUAACUCCGUGCCAGCAGCCGCGGUAAUACGGAGGAUGCAAGCGUUGGUCGGAUUCAUUGGGGUUAAGGCGGAGAAUUACGGAGGGGGUGAAAGCUGGCAGCUUAACUGUGAAAAUGCCAUUGAAACUGAUUUUCUUGAGUUCGAUUGAGGUAGAUGGAAUGUAUCAUGUAGCGGUGAAAUGCUUAGAUAUGAUACAGAACACCAAUUGCGAAGGCAGUCUACUAAGUCGAUACUGACGCUGAGGCACGAAAGCAUGGGGAGCAAACAGGAUUAGAUACCCCGGUAGUC
RNAcentral lists this ribosomal RNA (450 nucleotides) under uncultured bacterium. Its description in RNAcentral is "partial 16S ribosomal RNA". It matches the Rfam family "Bacterial small subunit ribosomal RNA", at positions 338 to 795 of the family's 1533-position model. The record is from RNAcentral.